Molecule: ribosomal RNA, 859 nt
Filed under: uncultured Clostridium sp.
Lineage: Bacteria; Bacillati; Bacillota; Clostridia; Eubacteriales; Clostridiaceae
Description: bacterial SSU rRNA
Rfam family: Bacterial small subunit ribosomal RNA
Source: RNAcentral
GACGAACGCUGGCGGCGUGCUUAACACAUGCAAGUCGAGCGAUGAAGCUUUCUUCGGGAAGUGGAUUAGCGGCGGACGGGUGAGUAACACGUGGGUAACCUGCCUCAAAGUGGGGGAUAGCCUUCCGAAAGGAAGAUUAAUACCGCAUAAUAUAGGGGAAUUGCAUGAUUUCCUUAUCAAAGAUUUAUUGCUUUGAGAUGGACCCGCGGCGCAUUAGCUAGUUGGUAAGGUAAUGGCUUACCAAGGCAACGAUGCGUAGCCGACCUGAGAGGGUGAUCGGCCACAUUGGAACUGAGACACGGUCCAGACUCCUACGGGAGGCAGCAGUGGGGAAUAUUGCGCAAUGGGGGAAACCCUGACGCAGCAACGCCGCGUGGGUGAUGAAGGUCUUCGGAUUGUAAAGCCCUGUUUUCUGGGACGAUAAUGACGGUACCAGAGGAGGAAGCCACGGCUAACUACGUGCCAGCAGCCGCGGUAAUACGUAGGUGGCGAGCGUUGUCCGGAUUUACUGGGCGUAAAGGGUGCGUAGGCGGAUAUUUAAGUGGGAUGUGAAAUCCCCGGGCUUAACCUGGGGGCUGCAUUCCAAACUGGAUAUCUAGAGUGCAGGAGAGGAAAGCGGAAUUCCUAGUGUAGCGGUGAAAUGCGUAGAGAUUAGGAAGAACACCAGUGGCGAAGGCGGCUUUCUGGACUGUAACUGACGCUGAGGCACGAAAGCGUGGGUAGCAAACAGGAUUAGAUACCCUGGUAGUCCACGCCGUAAACGAUGGAUACUAGGUGUAGGGGGUAUCAACUCCCCCUGUGCCGCAGUUAACACAAUAAGUAUCCCGCCUGGGGAGUACGGUCGCAGGAUUAAAACUCA